This 262-nucleotide long non-coding RNA is filed under the name Lathyrus oleraceus (garden pea). Its description in RNAcentral is "Pisum sativum (pea) long non-coding RNA (PSAT_LNC026323)". Lineage: Eukaryota; Viridiplantae; Streptophyta; Magnoliopsida; Fabales; Fabaceae. The record is from RNAcentral.
UAACUCAUAAUUUACUAAGGGAACUCUCGCAAAAUCACAAAAAAAAUUUAAAGACCCUCGUUUUUUGAUAAAAGCACUAGAAAAUAUUUUCCGCAUAUAGUUAUUUGGUUACAAGCUCAAAUAGUCACUUAUGAGUGAAAAUUACACUGAAUAAUUGAUUAUGCAUUAAGUAUAGUAUAUUAUCUCAUUCUUAAUGCCUCAUAAUUGAUUAUUAGGAUUGAUAAUCGAAUAGUAUUGAUGUAAUUUUAAAUUUUUCCUUUUU